AUUGAACGCUGGCGGCAGGCCUAACACAUGCAAGUCGAACGAGUGGCGGACGGGUGAGUAACGUCUGGGAAACUGCCUGAUGGAGGGGGAUAACUACUGGAAACCGUAGCUAAUACCGCAUACCAUCAGAUGUGCCCAGAUGGGAUUAGCUAGUUGGUGGGGUAACGGCUCACAAGGGCGACGAUCCCCAGCUGGUCUGAGAGGGUGACCAGCCACACUGGAACUGAGACACGGUCAAGACUCCUAGGGGAGGAAGCAGUGGGGAAUUUUGCACAAUGGGCGAAAGCCUGAUGCAGCACUGCCGCGUGUAGGAAGAAGGCCUUCGGGUUGUAAAGUACUUUCAGCGGGGAGGCGUUACCCGCAGAAGAAGCACCGGCUAACUCCGUGCCAGCAGCCGCGGUAAUUC
Molecule: ribosomal RNA, 406 nt
Filed under: uncultured bacterium
Lineage: Bacteria
Description: partial 16S ribosomal RNA
Rfam family: Bacterial small subunit ribosomal RNA
Source: RNAcentral